This 253-nucleotide ribosomal RNA is filed under the name uncultured bacterium. Its description in RNAcentral is "partial 16S ribosomal RNA". It matches the Rfam family "Bacterial small subunit ribosomal RNA", at positions 524 to 776 of the family's 1533-position model. The record is from RNAcentral.
UACGUAGGGUGCAAGCGUUAUCCGGAAUUAUUGGGCGUAUAGAGCUCGUAGGCGGUUUGUCGCGUCUGCUGUGAAAACUGGAGGCUCAACCUCCAGCCUGCAGUGGGUACGGGCAAACUAGAGUGCGGUAGGGGAGAGUGGAAUUCCUGGUGUAGCGGUGGAAUGCGCAGAUAUCAGGAGGAACACCGAUGGCGAAGGCAGAUCUCUGGGCCGUAACUGACGCUGAGGAGCGAAAGCAUGGGGAGCGAACAGG